UCCUUCAUGGGAGAUGAUUGAAAGAUGGUUUCGGCUAUCACUUACAGAUGGGCCCGCGGUGCAUUAGCUAGUUGGUGAGGUAACGGCUCACCAAGGCAACGAUGCAUAGCCGACCUGAGAGGGUGAUCGGCCACACUGGGACUGAGACACGGCCCAGACUCCUACGGGAGGCAGCAGUAGGGAAUCUUCCGCAAUGGACGAAAGUCUGACGGAGCAACGCCGCGUGAGUGAUGAAGGCUUUCGGGUCGUAAAACUCUGUUGUUAGGGAAGAACAAGUACGAGAGUAACUGCUCGUACCUUGACGGUACCUAACCAGAAAGCCACGGCUAACUACGUGCCAGCAGCCGCGGUAAUACGUAGGUGGCAAGCGUUAUCCGGAAUUAUUGGGCGUAAAGCGCGCGCAGGCGGUUUCUUAAGUCUGAUGUGAAAGCCCACGGCUCAACCGUGGAGGGUCAUUGGAAACUGGGGAACUUGAGUGCAGAAGAGAAAAGCGGAAUUCCACGUGUAGCGGUGAAAUGCGUAGAGAUGUGGAGGAACACCAGUGGCGAAGGCGGCUUUUUUGGUCUGUAACUGACGCUGAGGCGCGAAAGCGUGGGGGAGCAAACAGGGAUUAAGAUACCCCUGGUAGUCCCACGCCCGUAAAACGAUGGAGUGCUAAAGUGUUAAGAGGGGUUUCCCCCCCUUUUAGUGCUUGCAGCCUAACGCAUUUAAGCAACUCCCGCCCUGGGGGAAGUACCGGUCCGCAAGGACUUGAAAACUUCAAAAGGAAAUUUGACCGGGGGGCCCCGGCAACAAAGCCGG
Molecule: ribosomal RNA, 801 nt
Filed under: bacterium ADB_BD015
Lineage: Bacteria
Description: bacterial SSU rRNA
Rfam family: Bacterial small subunit ribosomal RNA
Source: RNAcentral